Molecule: long non-coding RNA, 6591 nt
Organism: Panthera uncia (snow leopard)
Lineage: Eukaryota; Metazoa; Chordata; Mammalia; Carnivora; Felidae
Exons: 2
Source: RefSeq, a predicted model, not a curated record
CCCCCGUCCCCGCCCCCGUGCCUUUCUGAACUCCCAGGUUGACAGCUCGCCUAAACCAAAGUACCUUUCUUCUCCAACUGCUCUUCCUUAAGCACUUGGGAGAAAUUGCCAACCAUGAGCGUUGCAGUCUGAGCCUGCCUUAGAGUUUCUGUUGUCCUGUGAGGACAGUUAAAACUUGGAACUUUCCCGACCACCACUCAGAGUAAACCGUACAAGCACAUAGGUACCUAAAUGCAUAAAUAAUUGAAACAAAAGCACUUACAGAGUCUUCUCUUGUAUUUCUUUUAAAAACAUGGUGGUGGUGACCCUAAACUGGUUGACAAACCCAUUAAUAAUGCCUUGUGACUGGCAGUUUGAAAACCACCGAUUAAAAGGAAGUAUCAGUUAAGGAAGAAAAUGAGCUGGCAGAUGAAUUCAGAGCAAAGGGACUCUAAUUUUAAAAAGUGUUUUAACCCAGAACUGCUCAUGUAUAGAUAAUUUGGAUUUAAGAGCAUAGUUAUCCUAGUUUAACAUAAUAACAUAUACAUUAUUAAACAUAUUUAGGAAAAUUUAAAAGUUUUUAAAUAUGGAGGUGUAGAGAUCACACUCUGCGUUCAAGGUUAAUGUGAAGCAUAGAAUUUAGAACCUUUUAAAUGCUAAAUCCUUCUGAAGCGGUAAUUCUUAGAUUUCAAAUGAAGAGUCUGUCCACCAAGGGGAGAAAAACCACAACACUGCAUAUGAUUGCAGUGUGGAUAGAUGACCACCUUAUGCUGGCUGUCAGUUGUGUAAAGCAAGAUUAAACAAGGUAUAAAAUAACUGAGAACCCAGAGGUGGGUUUGGGGUAGAGAAAGAUGCGGAGUCUAGUAUGCAUCAAAUAUCUGUUGAGGGUUUGCUUAGCCCUUUAUUUUUAAUUUAUAUUCAAGUUAGUUAAUGUACAGUGUAGUAUUGGUUUCUGGAAUAGAACCCAGUGAUUCAUCACUUACCUAUAAAACCCAGUGCUCAUCCCGACAAGUGCCCUCCUCUUAAUCCCCAUCACCCAUUUAGCCCAUCCUCCCACCCACCUCCCCUCCAGCAACCCUCAGGUUGUUCUCUGUAUUUAAGAGUCUCUUAGGGUUUGCCUCCCUCUUCUCUGUUUUUAUCUUAUUUUUCCUUCCCUUCCCCUGCGUUUAUCUGUUUUGUUUCUUAAAUUCCACAUGUGAGUGAAAUCAUAUGAUUUGUCUUUCUCUGACUACUUUCGCUUAGUGUAAUACCAUCUAGUUCCAUCCACAUUGCAAAUGGCGAGAUUUCAUUCUUUUUGAUCACUGAGUAAUAUUCCAGUGUGUGUGUGUGUGUGUGUGUGUGUGUGUGUGUGUGUGUACGUAUAUACAUGUACGUGUGUGUGUGUGUGUGUGUGUGUGUGUAUAGAACACAUUUUUUUUCCAUUCACCAGUCAAUGGACAUUUGAGCUCUUUCCAUAUUUUGGUUAUUUUAUUUAUUUAAGUUUAUUUUGAGAGAGACAGUGUGAGUGGGGGAGGGGAAGAGAGAGGGAGAGAGAGAGGGAGAGAAUCUCCAGCAGGCUCUGCACCUCAGCAUGGAGCCUGACUUGGGGCUUGAACGCAGGAAAGUAGGAUCAUGAACUGAGCUGAAACCAAGAGUCAGAUGCUUCACUGAGCCACCCAGGUGCCCCUUGGCUAUUGCUGAUAGCACUGCUCUAAACAUUGGGGUGCAUGUGCCCCUUCAAAUUAGCAUUUUUGUAUCCCUUGGAUAAAUUCCUAGUAGUGCAGUUGCUGGGUUGUAGGGUAGGUGUAUUUUUAACUUCUUGAGGAACCUCCAUACAGCUUUCCAGAGAGGCUGCACCAGUUUGCAUUCCCACCAAUAGUGCAAAAGGGUUCCCCUUUCUCCACAUCCCCACCAACAUCUGUUGUUUCCUCGAUCGUUAAUUUUAGCCAUUGUGACAGGUGUGAGGUGGUAUCUCAGUGUGGUUUUGAUUUGUAUUUCCCUGAUGAGGAGUGACAUUGAGCAUCUUUUCAUGUGCCUGUUGGCCAUCUGGAUGUCUUCUUUGGAAAAGUGUCUGUUCAUAUCUUCUGUCCCUUUCUUCACUGGAUUAUUUGUUUUUUGGGUGUUGAGUUUGAUAAGUUCUUGAUAGAUUUUGGAUACUAACCCUUUAACUGAUAUGUCAUUUGCAAAUAUCUUCUCCCAGUCCGUUGGUUGCCUUUUAGUUUUAUUGAUUGUUUCCGUUGCUGCUCAGCCCUUUAAAGAUUAUUUCCCUAGGCUCAGGUAAGGCUAGAUUGCAUUUCUUUUAAUGUAAAAUUUUAAGCAAAGUAUAACACAGAGAAAAAGGUACAAAUCAAGAGAGUACCAUAUCAUGGUAAGUCUUUCAAUGUGAGCAUCUCCCAAAGUAAUUAGCACCUAAGUCAGGAAAGAUUAUGUUAUUAACACCCCAGAAAUCUCAUGCCCCCGUCUAGUCCUACCAUGGUCCUAGCGUCUAACGUCAUUACAGCAAAACAAAACAAAACCUCUACUGUUACAUAAUAUACAUACCUUAAAAUUUAAAGUAUAUGGUGGAUUUAGAAUGUUCAGAGAUACGGGGCCAUCACUAAUCUAAGUUCAGAACAUUCCGUCACCCCCAGAAGAAACUCUAUACCCAUUAGCAGUCAUUCCCCACAUUGAUUAGUUUUGCCUGUUUGUUAAUUUGCUCAUCUAUAAAUGGACUCAGUAUAUUUGACUUACUUUAUGUUUGAUUUCUCUCUCUCUUUUUUUUUUUUUUUUUUUUAAAUAUUUGAGAGACGCAGCAUGUGUGUGAGCUGAGGAGGGGAAGAGAGAGAGGGUGAGAGAGGAUCCCAAGCAGUCUCUGUGAUGUCAGUGUUCAAUCUGAUGUGGGGCUUGAUCCCACAGACCGUGAGAUCAGGACCUGAGCUGAAAUCAAAAGAGUUUGAUGCUUGGGGCGCCGGGGUGGCUCAGUGGGUUAAGUGUCCAACUUUUACUUCGGUCAUGAUUUUGUGGUUCGUGGGUUCGAGCCCUGUGUCGGGUUCAGUGCUGACAGCUCAGAGCCUGGAGCCUGCUUUGGAUUCUGUGUCUCCCUCUCUCGUGUGCGCACUCUCUCUCUCUCUCAAAAAUAAAUUGAAAAAAGAGUUGGAUGCUUAACCAACUGAGCCACCCAGGUGCCCCUGUUUCUUACAGUUUCUAAUCCUCAUUCUCAUUGUGUAUGGUUCUGGUUUGUUCAUUCUCAUUGCUACAUCCCAUGAUUUAUCUAUUUUACUGUUGUUAGACAUUUGAGUUGGUUCUAAUUGUUGUAUGAAUGUUGGGUAUGCAUCUUUUGAUGAAUAUGGGUAUACACCACGGUGUGAAAUGUCUGGGACAUAUGUACAUACUCAGUUGUACAGGAUACUGUCAAGGAAUUUUCCAAAGGACUUGUACCCUUGACACUCCCACGAGCAGGAUUUGAAAGUUCCAGGUCCUCCACAUCCUGGCUACACAUGAUAUAUCCUGUCCUGCUUGUUUUAGCCCUUCUGGUGGAUUAAAAUGGUAUUGUAUUGUGGCUUUAAUUUGCAUUUCCCUGAUGACAGAUAAAGCUGAGCAUCAUUUUUACGUGCUUACUGGCCAUUUGGAUAUUCUCUUUUGUGAAGUUUUCUUUCCAGAUUUUACUUUUGUCCAUUUCUUCUAUUGAAUUGCCUGCCUUUUUCUUACUGAUUUCCAUUUCUUUGUUCUGGCUAUGAAUCCUUUGUUAGAUAUAUGUAUUACAAAUACUUUUCCCACUCUGUGGCUUGCCUCUGUGCUAGGUUACUUUUUAUGCGAAGGGGAAAUAAUUUUAUAACUAGCUCAGAUGUUAACAUAAUCUUUGUUGGCUGUCUUUGCCAGAUUUUAUAUAAAUCAUAUGUGUCAGUCAUCUUGUAAUUUUUUCUCUUGAUGGAUGAUGUCAUCAUAUUGGUGUGCCUGAAGAGUAUAGGAUUUGAGAGAGAGGAAAUCUAGUGAGUUUUUGUAUUUUUGUUAAACUUUAGUUUUAUUAGAUUAUUAUUUAAGACUUGGCUAUUGUUCUUUUCCUUUGCUGUGCAAGUUAAGAUGCGUCUAUGUGUGGUGUAGACACUGCGGGUUGCUUAGCCUCUCAUUCUCCUCUCUCUGCUAAUAGAAGCUUCAUUUGUUGAGAGCUGCAGUGUGCAUAAUUAAAGCUACUUGCUGAUUUAUGACUCUUUGAAAUUAGGGUUGGUUAUGUGACAUGUUCUGCCAGUAGCCCAUGUAGGAGAGGUCUGUUGGGUGGGAAUUCCAGGAAAGCUGUUGCUUUUCUAAGAGAAAGAAACAGACUUAGCCGGCAGACAUCUUCUGCCCAUCCUGUAUUCCUUUCUGGAAAGUGCUCCUGAGUCUCAGAGGCUUUUCACUGUCCUGCAAUCAUGACGAUGAGAGAUAGGUGCUAAAAAUGGCAGAGUUGGUCGUGGGUGGUGUCGUGGGGUCAAUGUAUAAGCCUUGGGCUGCUUUCUUAGGUUGUCCAGAGAAAGACCGAUAGGAGAUGGAGAUCUAUUUAUAUUUACGCAGGCUGAAAAGUUCCAUGAUUGGCUGUCUGCAGCUAGAGACCUGGGAGAGCUGAUGGUAGAAAUUCCAGUCUGAGUCCAGAUGCUUGAGACCCUGGAAAGCCAAUGGUGUAAGUUCUAGUCUGACGAAAGGAGAAGACCAAUACCCUAGUUCAACAAGUGGGGCUGAGAGAGGGAGCAUGUGUGAGCGUGCUCCCCAUGCCUUCAACUGAUUGGACAAGGCCCACCCACACUGCGAGGAGCCAUCUGCUUUACUCAGUCCAGUGAUUCAGACAUUAAUCUCCUCCAGAAUAAUGUGGUUUUUUUUCCCCCAAGUUUAUUUAUUUUGAGAGACAGCGCGCGUGCUAGAGGGGCAGAGAGAGAGGGAGACAGAAUCCCAAGUUGAGUGUGGAGCCUGAGGAGGGGCUCAAAGUCACGAAACCAUGAGAUAAUGACCUGAGCUGAAACCAAGAGUCAGACACUUAACUGACUGAGCCACCCAGGUGCCUGCAUCCAGAAUAAUGUUGAACCAGACAUCUGGGCACCCUGUGUACCGGCCACGUUGACACAGUUAUGCAUCACAGCGGUCUUCCUUGUGGCCUCUUGUUUUAUGAGAGGAGUAUGGGGUAAUUUCCCGGUUUAGGGUGUUCCCACAUAUGUUGCUGAAUUCAGCCCCUAAGAAAUACAGACAUUACUCAGAUUUCUUGGCUUACAAAAUCAAGACUUGUGGCAGGUAUGUGAUGGUGCUCUAGGGGUGUGCCUGUCUGAGCUGCAGUAAGGUGAGGCUUUGCCACAUCCUGGUAAGACAGAAAUGCACCCGUGUUCCUGUGCGUGAGUCUGUGGAUAUGGGCCCGGGUCAUCUCAGCUGCAGAAAAGUCCUUAAUCCAACUGAUGUUAAAGGCAGUUCAGAGACCACCGGGUGCUGGAGACCCAGAGGAGUGCUUCUGGCCCAGAGGGACAAUUCUGUCACCCGGCUUAUUAGACAGAAGCAUCUAGCUCUUGUCUCUCUCUGGUGUUUAUCCCCAGGUCUUUGUUAGAGUAACAAACGGCUUUGAGAGGGAAAAGUCCUAAAUACUUGUUACUGAUGUGAAAGAUACUUGAGAAGGUACAGGCUUGUGACUUCGUUAUUUGGGGCAAAAUCAGCUUUGAUUCCCAUUAUGAGUCUGGGACUCACAUUAUGCCCACGUGGGCCUAAAAGGUACUUGUGGCUUUUUGUCCUUUAUCCAGUUUUUUAAUAAUUUUUUUUAAUGUUUAUUUUUGAGAGAGAGAGACAGAGCAUGAGCAGGGCCACCUAAUUGCUGAAGGAGGAAUGGUUCCGUUUGGCAGUUUUCCACACUUGGAGAACCAGCACUCGGAGAUCACUCGGAGAGAAUAGAAAUCUCUGCGGGCCAGGGAUUCCACACCUCUGGUUUGCUGCAGACGGGAGGUGAGAAGGAAUGAGCGGAUGGUCCUCCAGGGGUGAUUGCAAGACUUUUGGAUGAUCCCAAGAUUUUUGCCUGAGCCCUGGACGGUUGGAGUUGCCCGUGGCUGAGCCGAGGAAGGAGACGGUGGAGCAGGUUUGGAGGGGGAAGAUCAGAGCGUGAGCUCUGGCCAUGCUAGCAUGUUAGAUCAUCUCCAGGUGGAGACGUUGACAGGAAGAUGUCCAAGCUCGGGGACACGGCGAUAAACACAGGUGUCGUCAGCCCCUACACGACACUUAAAACCGUGAGAGCAGAGGCCAGCUACCGGAAGAGUGGGGGAUGGUGAAGGGGAGAGAACAGAGCCGCGACGGGCUGAUGCCGGGGCGCCAGGGAGAUGAAAACUACCGAGGAGGUUGGAAACAGGAGCCCCGACUGACUGUCGUGAGCAGGAAAACCCGGGAGGACGCCGUGUGCUGGCAUUCCAGAGAAGGAUGCGAGGGGACCCACUGUGUCGUGUAGCCGGUAAGUCAUGUAAGAUGAGAACAGAGAAUUAACCGUUGUAUUUGGCACUGUGGGAGCCGUCCUUGACCUCGACAGGAAUUAACCGCUGCAUUUGGGACUGUAGGGAGUCGUCCUUGACCUCGACAGGAGUGGUUUUGGUUGAGUGGGGGAAACAGAAGGUUGAUGGCAGCGGGUUUCAUAGAAAACGGAUGAAUGAAUGAAAGUCCAAA